CGGCAACAGCUCAAAUUUGAAAUCUGGCCUCGCGGUCCGAGUUGUAAUUUGUAGAGGAUGCUUCGAGCAUGGUCCGGUCUAAGUUCCUUGGAACAGGACGUCACAGAGGGUGAGAAUCCCGUAUGCGACUGGGUGCCUAAGCUCAUGUGAAGCUCCUUC
RNAcentral lists this ribosomal RNA (159 nucleotides) under Flagellospora sp. RNAcentral's name for it is "partial large subunit ribosomal RNA". It matches the Rfam family "Eukaryotic large subunit ribosomal RNA", at positions 99 to 258 of the family's 3401-position model. The record is from RNAcentral. Lineage: Eukaryota; Fungi; Ascomycota; Leotiomycetes; Leotiales; Leotiaceae.